UUGGCGGCCAUGGCGGUCUCGG
This 22-nucleotide microRNA is filed under the name Sus scrofa (pig). RNAcentral describes it as "ssc-mir145". The record is from RNAcentral. Lineage: Eukaryota; Metazoa; Chordata; Mammalia; Artiodactyla; Suidae.